GCCUACGGGGCGCAGCAGUAGGGAAUCUUCCACAAUGGACGAAAGUCUGAUGGAGCAACGCCGCGUGAGUGAAGAAGGGUUUCGGCUCGUAAAGCUCUGUUGGUAGUGAAGAAAGAUAGAGGUAGUAACUGGCCUUUAUUUGACGGUAAUUACUUAGAAAGUCACGGCUAACUACGUGCCAGCAGCCGCGGUAAUACGGAGGUGGCAAGCGUUGUCCGGAUUUAUUGGGCGUAAAGCGAGCGCAGGCGGGUUCUUAGGG
Molecule: ribosomal RNA, 259 nt
Filed under: uncultured bacterium
Lineage: Bacteria
Description: partial 16S ribosomal RNA
Rfam family: Bacterial small subunit ribosomal RNA
Source: RNAcentral